UACGAAGGGGGCUAGCGUUGCUCGGAAUCACUGGGCGUAAAGGGUGCGUAGGCGGGUCUUUAAGUCAGGGGUGAAAUCCUGGAGCUCAACUCCAGAACUGCCUUUGAUACUGAAGAUCUUGAGUUCGGGAGAGGUGAGUGGAACUGCGAGUGUAGAGGUGAAAUUCGUAGAUAUUCGGAAGAACACCAGUGGCGAAGGCGGCCCACUGGACUGGUAUUGACGCUGAGGUGCGAAAGCGUGGGGAGCAAACAGG
This 253-nucleotide ribosomal RNA is filed under the name uncultured bacterium. Its description in RNAcentral is "partial 16S ribosomal RNA". It matches the Rfam family "Bacterial small subunit ribosomal RNA", at positions 524 to 776 of the family's 1533-position model. The record is from RNAcentral.